GACGAACGCUGGCGGCGUGCUUAACACAUGCAAGUCGAACGAAAAAUCAUUGAAAGCUUGCUGAUAUGAUUUUUAGUGGCGGACGGGUGAGUAACGCGUGAGGACUUGUCUUAUACAGGGGGACAACAGUUGGAAACGGCUGCUAAUACCCCAUAAGCCUUCGGGUAAAAGGAGCAAUCCGGUAUUCGAGAGACUCGCGUCCUAUCAGCUAGUAGGUGAGGUAACGGCUCACCUAGGCGAAGACGGGUAGCCGGCCUGAGAGGGCGAACGGCCACACUGGAACUGAGACACGGUCCAGACUCCUACGGGAGGCAGCAGUGGGGAAUAUUGGGCAAUGGGGGCAACCCUGACCCAGCGACGCCGCGUGAGUGAAGAAAUCCCUCGGGACGUAAAGCUCUGUUGUGUGGGAAGAUAAUGACGGUACCACACGAGGAAGCCCUGGCAAACUACGUGCCAGCAGCCGCGGUAA
This 469-nucleotide ribosomal RNA is filed under the name uncultured bacterium. RNAcentral's name for it is "partial 16S ribosomal RNA". It matches the Rfam family "Bacterial small subunit ribosomal RNA", at positions 28 to 523 of the family's 1533-position model. The record is from RNAcentral.